GGAUGAGCCCGCGGCCUAUCAGCUUGUUGGUGGGGUAAUGGCCUACCAAGGCGUCGACGGGUAGCCGGCCUGAGAGGGCGACCGGCCACACUGGGACUGAGACACGGCCCAGACUCCUACGGGAGGCAGCAGUGGGGAAUAUUGCACAAUGGGCGAAAGCCUGAUGCAGCGACGCCACGUGAGGGAUGACGGCCUUCGGGUUGUAAACCUCUUUCAGCAGGGAAGAAGCGCAAGUGACGGUACCUGCAGAAGAAGCGCCGGCUAACUACGUGACAGCAGCCGCGGCCG
RNAcentral lists this ribosomal RNA (288 nucleotides) under uncultured Streptomyces sp. Its description in RNAcentral is "partial 16S ribosomal RNA". It matches the Rfam family "Bacterial small subunit ribosomal RNA", at positions 223 to 523 of the family's 1533-position model. The record is from RNAcentral. Lineage: Bacteria; Bacillati; Actinomycetota; Actinomycetes; Kitasatosporales; Streptomycetaceae.